UGAAAAACGUUGAUAGAGAAGAGUAGCUUACAAAAUCGCCAUAUAGGGAGAGAGUGCCGUAGACUGAAAGCAUUCUUAUGGUAGACGGAAGUGAAUUCACCUCUGGAGUUGACGCCAGGACCAUUGUAUAUGUAAAGGCGUUCCGGUCAAAGCUGACCGUUAUCAUGAAUUGAGUGGGCAGACUUGUUCUGUCAAUUUAGGGUGGUACCGCGAAUUUACCUCGUCCCUUUU
Molecule: non-coding RNA, 231 nt
Filed under: Bacillus cereus
Lineage: Bacteria; Bacillati; Bacillota; Bacilli; Caryophanales; Bacillaceae
Description: T-box sequence
Rfam family: T-box leader
About the family: Uncharged tRNA acts as the effector for transcription antitermination of genes in the T-box leader family. T-boxes are found upstream of many aminoacyl-tRNA synthetase genes and some amino acid biosynthetic genes usually in Gram-positive bacteria.
Source: RNAcentral